Molecule: long non-coding RNA, 460 nt
Organism: Herpailurus yagouaroundi (jaguarundi)
Lineage: Eukaryota; Metazoa; Chordata; Mammalia; Carnivora; Felidae
Exons: 2
Source: RefSeq, a predicted model, not a curated record
CCGGGGUUUCUGGAGUUGCUUUAUGCAGAGGAUGGAGAGCUGAAAGUGCCGGAAGUUUCUGUGCCCCCAAGGAGACACUUGGUCAAAGACGGAGUGGUCUGGAAGCGUAAACUCCAGCUCCCUUGCCUCAAGUCGGGCCAAACCCGAAGGAUAACUCCCACGCCAGAGCUUCCCCGCACGAUCCAGCUGAGCAAGCCAGAAAUUCGAGGAACGAAUGCCUCCCGCCUCUCCAGGAGCAGCCGUCAACCAAUGACUGACAGGACUUGGUGGAUAAAUACCCCGGCUCCGUCUCCGCCUCGUCUGGCUGUCGCUGUGGCAUGUUCCGGAAGGGCCGAGCUCAGGCUGCCGGCAGUAGUGAUAAUUCCCCUUUAUUGAUUUCCUUCUCUUCCCAGCCCUACUUCUCCACCUCCCUGCCAGUGUUUCCUGAGAUCACCUCCCAAAUAAACCCUUUGCACUUGAA